CCCCUCUCAGGAUCACACCUGGAGAGUUUCCAGUCCUCUACCAGUCUCGACUAUGGGAGGGAGAGUCCAGCAGAGGCCUACCCACUCCAUUCCGAGCUUGGCCUGUGGCUAGGGAGUGGCAGGCAAUCUGCUACAAAU
RNAcentral lists this small nucleolar RNA (138 nucleotides) under Ornithorhynchus anatinus (platypus). Lineage: Eukaryota; Metazoa; Chordata; Mammalia; Monotremata; Ornithorhynchidae. The record is from RNAcentral.